ACUUCUUCCUCUCACAUUGCCCUUUUCCUCCUUCUCAUCAGAUUUCAGGGAUAUGGCCAUAACUCAAAGCUCAAAAUUUCCCAUAUCUUUUGUAUGGACUCCAUUUCAAGAUGCUCUGUAUCUCAGCACUUCACGGACAUCCACGGUAGCUAGGAACUGGCUUCCUGCCCAUUCUCUGUACCUGUGACUAACUCUAAGACAUUGAGCACAAAUGAGUUAGCUGUAGUGGCUGCCCUGGAAUUGAGUUCUUGAGUCUGCGGGACAGUCCUGAGGUGUUGCUUUAUACUUUCGCUCCUUUUGAAGAUCCUAGAAGGACCUCCUGUGGCUUCUACAAAGUGACUCAGAGAAGCACAGUAUGGGACCUUGGUGGUUUCUCUGAUACACUCUAUUAAAUUGUUAAAUGGCUCUGCAGCAUUAUUACAAAGUUAGGCAAGCCUGGCUCACCCAAUAGGACAGGAGUUUAAGCUUUAGAAUUUUCCCUAUUUUCCACCUGCCCCCCCAGCCACCUGGUGUUAAGUGGCAUAUAUUUUGUUUUACAAGAAAGCUAGGGACACUUUUUCACGUCAAAAGUCACCCUUAAGACUUACUUAGGCAAACAUUAUUAUUCAUUUUAGAAGGAUUUUAUAGCAGUCGAAGUCCUGGAGAAUAAGUACGUUUGACUGAUCUCGGUGAUACAACAUUGUUGGUAUCACUAAUCCCACAGCCAUCUUUUUUUUUUUUUCCUCAGGACAAGGGAGGUAAUUUUCUGAAAAUUACGUUGUUUUCUAAAAUAGCUCUUUUCAAUGCUAUCCAUCUACCUUCUGGCAGCACAGUUUAAUUUGCAUUUAAAUCAUUUCCUGAUAUUGUAGGAAAAGUAAUUAUACAUAACACUACCAAUUUUCAAGCCCCAGCUUUUAAUCGGUCCACAGUCAAAUCCCUCUUCUAUGUUCUAAAACCACUUCCCCAAAACGUAAAAUUCCCAAAUACCAGCCCUGGUUUCUUUCUUAAGGCCCCUUCAUUUGCUAGCACAUCUCAUGUAUUAAAUUUGUGUCAAUAGAAAAAUAUGGUGGUAUUUCUAUUCCCAUUUUUCUUUUGGGUUGUGUCACUUUGGUUUGCUGACUUUUCCCUCAUAUGAAGGUUUAACUCCACCAGCUGAGCAGAAGACCUUCAGAGGAUUCCACACGCAUGACACUAAAAUCACUUCAACCAAUUCUUUUAUCACAGUUACAGAUGUUGGAUCAUGGCCCGAUUCUGAGAUUUUAGUGCAGAUGAAGCGGGAAACCGAUGUAGUUUGUGCCAACAUGGCCACGGGGCACACAGUUUUGAUUAGGUAUAACUUGACUGUAUGCUACCUGCUUGGUUCUAGAGGCAUUUUUCACACUUAGAUCCAGAUGCAAUUGCAGAGUUCUUGGACCUUGCAGGAUUUUGAUUCAUAUUAAUUAUUCAACAACAAAAAAAAUCCACUGGAUAUCUACAUCACUCUUAACAAGACACCAUAUCAUAUUAAAGGAGAACACUCUUGAAAGCUGCUUGAUAUGUCACUGUUUUUUUCCUUCAGAAAGAUAGUGUCUUAUAAAAAAUGAGGUGUAUUUUUCAGAGCUCUG
This is a long non-coding RNA of Gallus gallus (chicken), 1583 nucleotides long. The record is from Ensembl. Lineage: Eukaryota; Metazoa; Chordata; Aves; Galliformes; Phasianidae.